Molecule: ribosomal RNA, 440 nt
Filed under: uncultured bacterium
Lineage: Bacteria
Description: partial 16S ribosomal RNA
Rfam family: Bacterial small subunit ribosomal RNA
Source: RNAcentral
CCUACGGGUGGCAGCAGUGGGGAAUAUUGCACAAUGGGGGAAACCCUGAUGCAGCGACGCCGCGUGAGUGAGGACGUAUUUCGGUAUGUAAAGCUCUAUCAGCAGGGAAGAAAAUGACGGUACCUGACUAAGAAGCUCCGGCUAACUACGUGCCAGCAGCCGCGGUAAUACGUAGGGAGCAAGCGUUAUCCGGAUUGACUGGGUGUAAAGGGCGCGUAGAUGGCUUAACAAGUCAGAAGUGAAACCCCUGGGCUCAACCUGUGGACUGCUUUUGAGACUGGAGAGAUAGAGUGCAGUAGAGGUAAGCGGAAUUCCUAGUGUAGCGGUGAAAUGCGUAGAGAUUAGGAGGAACACCAGUGGCGAAGGCGGCUUACUGGACUGUAACUGACGUUGAGGCUCGAAAGCGUGGGUAGCAAACAGGAUUAGAUACCCCUGUAGUC